Molecule: ribosomal RNA, 497 nt
Filed under: uncultured bacterium
Lineage: Bacteria
Description: partial 16S ribosomal RNA
Rfam family: Bacterial small subunit ribosomal RNA
Source: RNAcentral
GACGAACGCUGGCGGCGUGCCUAAUACAUGCAAGUUGAGCGCUGAAGGUUGGUACUUGUACCAACUGGAUGAGCAGCGAACGGGUGAGUAACGCGUGGGGAAUCUGCCUUUGAGCGGGGGACAACAUUUGGAAACGAAUGCUAAUACCGCAUAAAAACUUUAAACACAAGUUUUAAGUUUGAAAGAUGCAAUUGCAUCACUCAAAGAUGAUCCCGCGUUGUAUUAGCUAGUUGGUGAGGUAAAGGCUCACCAAGGCGAUGAUACACAGCCGACCUGAGAGGGUGAUCGGCCACAUUGGGACUGAGACACGGCCCAAACUCCUACGGGAGGCAGCAGUAGGGAAUCUUCGGCAAUGGACGAAAGUCUGACCGAGCAACGCCGCGUGAGUGAAGAAGGUUUUCGGAUCGUAAAACUCUGUUGGUAGAGAAGAACGUUGGUGAGAGUGGAAAGCUCAUCAAGUGACGGUAACUACCCAGAAAGGGACGGCUAACUACGUG